UAUCUAGAUAGUUUAAGAAGAAUGGAGAUUUGUGGAGUCUCAGGUACUGGUUAUUCUGGAUU
Molecule: transfer RNA, 62 nt
Filed under: Armillifer agkistrodontis
Lineage: Eukaryota; Metazoa; Arthropoda; Ichthyostraca; Porocephalida; Armilliferidae
Description: tRNA-His
Source: RNAcentral